UUAGUGGAGUUGACCCUAGGAGGCUAGGAGCUAACCACUGCACUGAAAUGGAUUGACAACAGAGAGUUUUUAAGUUUCAGACUGAUUAGGAGUCGACCCCAGGGAAGAAGAGUUGACUCUGAUAUAUUGAAAUAAGACUGACAUGUAGGCAAGUCAACUCCUGUGAAAGAUAAGUUGACUCUCUCAAAGAAGAUAGAAAGCUGAUUUUUCAAAUCCUAUGCUA
Molecule: long non-coding RNA, 223 nt
Filed under: Elaeis guineensis (African oil palm)
Lineage: Eukaryota; Viridiplantae; Streptophyta; Magnoliopsida; Arecales; Arecaceae
Description: long non-coding RNA (EGUI_LNC018242)
Source: RNAcentral